AGGCUGAUAGCUCAGAGGAUAGAGCAACAGACUCCGAUUCUGUAAGUCGAGGGUUCAAACCCCUCUUGGCCUU
RNAcentral lists this transfer RNA (73 nucleotides) under Karlodinium veneficum. RNAcentral describes it as "tRNA-Arg". It matches the Rfam family "tRNA". Rfam says of the family: Transfer RNA (tRNA) molecules are approximately 80 nucleotides in length. Their secondary structure includes four short double-helical elements and three loops (D, anti-codon, and T loops). The record is from RNAcentral. Lineage: Eukaryota; Dinophyceae; Gymnodiniales; Kareniaceae.